GUAGGGCGGGACACGUGGUAUCCUGUCUGAAUAUGGGGGGACCAUCCUCCAAGGCUAAAUACUCCUGACUGACCGAUAGUGAACCAGUACCGUGAGGGAAAGGCGAAAAGAACCCCGGCGAGGGGAGUGAAAAAGAACCUGAAACCGUGUACGUACAAGCAGUGGGAGCACAGAGCAAUCUGUGUGACUGCGUACCUUUUGUAUAAUGGGUCAGCGACUUAUAUUCUGUAGCAAGGUUAACCGAAUAGGGGAGCCGAAGGGAAACCGAGUCUUAACUGGGCGUUAAGUUGCAGGGUAUAGACCCGAAACCCGGUGAUCUAGCCAUGGGCAGGUUGAAGGUUGGGUAACACUAACUGGAGGACCGAACCGACUAAUGUUGAAAAAUUAGCGGAUGACUUGUGGCUGGGGGUGAAAGGCCAAUCAAACCGGGAGAUAGCUGGUUCUCCCCGAAAGCUAUUUAGGUAGCGCCUCGUGAAUUCAUCUCCGGGGGUAGAGCACUGUUUCGGCAAGGGGGUCAUCCCGACUUACCAACCCGAUGCAAACUGCGAAUACCGGAGAAUGUUAUCACGGGAGACACACGGCGGGUGCUAACGUCCGUCGUGAAGAGGGAAACAACCCAGACCGCCAGCUAAGGUCCCAAAGUCAUGGUUAAGUGGGAAACGAUGUGGGAAGGCCCAGACAGCCAGGAUGUUGGCUUAGAAGCAGCCAUCAUUUAAAGAAAGCGUAAUAGCUCACUGGUCGAGUCGGCCUGCGCGGAAGAUGUAACGGGGCUAAACCAUGCACCGAAGCUGCGGCAGCGACGCUUAUGCGUUGUUGGGUAGGGGAGCGUUCUGUAAGCCUGCGAAGGUGUGCUGUGAGGCAUGCUGGAGGUAUCAGAAGUGCGAAUGCUGACAUAAGUAA
RNAcentral lists this ribosomal RNA (900 nucleotides) under Escherichia coli. RNAcentral's name for it is "partial 23S ribosomal RNA". It matches the Rfam family "Bacterial large subunit ribosomal RNA", at positions 412 to 1309 of the family's 2925-position model. The record is from RNAcentral. Lineage: Bacteria; Pseudomonadati; Pseudomonadota; Gammaproteobacteria; Enterobacterales; Enterobacteriaceae.